Molecule: long non-coding RNA, 215 nt
Organism: Spinacia oleracea (spinach)
Lineage: Eukaryota; Viridiplantae; Streptophyta; Magnoliopsida; Caryophyllales; Amaranthaceae
Exons: 3
Source: RefSeq, a predicted model, not a curated record
UUUGGUGCUACAGAGUUGACGGAUGAUCCUACAUGGAUUGUUGACCCACUUGAUGGGACAACUAACUUUGUGCACGGGUUCCCGUUUGUUUGUGUUUCUAUUGGUCUCACCAUUGGAAAAGUCCCAACUGUCGGUGUCGUGUAUAAUCCAAUUAUGAAUGAGGUAUAUACUCCGAGGAAUGCGCCUUAUGCUAGUGAGGAAUUGAUGUGGUUCGU